GGUGGCUGUAGCUCAGUCGGUAGAGCCCUGGAUUGUGAUUCCAGUGGUCGUGGGUUCGAUCCCCAUCAGCCACCCCAU
Molecule: transfer RNA, 78 nt
Filed under: Cellvibrio japonicus Ueda107
Lineage: Bacteria; Pseudomonadati; Pseudomonadota; Gammaproteobacteria; Cellvibrionales; Cellvibrionaceae
Description: tRNA-His
Rfam family: tRNA
About the family: Transfer RNA (tRNA) molecules are approximately 80 nucleotides in length.
Source: RNAcentral